This is an RNA transcript of Sapajus apella (tufted capuchin), 1860 nucleotides long. It is a transcript of the gene named protein disulfide isomerase family A member 5, with no coding region annotated. Lineage: Eukaryota; Metazoa; Chordata; Mammalia; Primates; Cebidae. The record is from RefSeq and is a predicted model, not a curated record. The transcript is spliced from 17 exons.
CAUGCUUUGGCAGACGUGGCACCGGGAACUCGGAGGCGGGGAGCGGCUGGGAAGUGGCGGUGGUGGUUGGCCGCGGUGGAGCUAGCGAGCGGGCGGGCGCGGGCGCGGGCGCGGGAGAGGAGACAGGAGCCAGCGGUGGGCAGCGGCAGCGGGGAUGGCGCGGGCCGGGCCGGCGUGGCUGCUGCUGGCGAUCUGGGUGGUCCUGCCUUCGUGGUUGUCCUCUGCAAAGGUCUCCUCGCUCAUUGAGAGAAUCUCUGACCCCAAGGACUUGAAAAAACUGCUCAGAACCCGGAAUAAUGUACUGGUGCUUUACUCCAAAUCUGAGGCAGCAGCUGAAAAUCAUCUCAGGUUACUGUCCACAGUGGCCCAGGCGGUGAAAGGACAAGGCACCAUCUGCUGGGUGGAUUGUGGUGAUGCAGAGAGUAGGAAAUUGUGCAAAAAGAUGAAAGUUGACCUGAGCCCAAAGGAUAAAAAGGUCGAAGUAUUCCAUUACCAGGAUGGUGCAUUUCAUACUGAAUAUAACCGAGCUGUGACAUUUAAGUCCAUAGUGGCCUUUUUGAAGGAUCCCAAAGGGCCUCCACUGUGGGAGGAAGAUCCUGGAGCCAAAGAUGUUGUCCACAUUGACAGUGAAAAGGACUUCAGACGGCUCCUGAAGAAGGAAGAGAAGCCGCUCCUGGUCAUGUUUUAUGCCCCCUGGUGCAGCAUGUGCAAGAGGAUGAUGCCACAUUUCCAGAAGGCUGCGACUCAGCUACGAGGCCACGCUGUGCUGGCUGGGAUGAAUGUCCACUCCUCUGAAUUUGAAAACAUCAAGGAGGAAUACAGCGUGCGCGGCUACCCCACCAUCUGCUAUUUUGAGAAAGGAAGGUUCUUGUUCCAGUACGACAACUAUGGGUCCACAGCCGAGGACAUCGUGGAGUGGCUGAAGAAUCCGCAGCCGCCACAGCCCCAGGUCCCUGAGACUCCCUGGGCAGAUGAGGGCGGCUCCGUUUAUCACCUGACCGAUGAAGACUUUGACCAGUUUGUGAAGGAACACUCCUCUGUCCUCGUCAUGUUCCACGCCCCAUGGUGUGGCCACUGUAAGAAAAUGAAGCCGGAGUUUGAGAAGGCAGCAGAAGCCCUCCAUGGAGAAGCAGAUAGCUCUGGUGUCCUUGCAGCUGUCGACGCCACCGUCAACAAGGCCCUGGCAGAAAGAUUCCACAUCUCAGAGUUUCCUACAUUGAAGUAUUUUAAGAAUGGAGAGAAACAUGCAGUGCCAGCGCUCAGGACAAAGAAGAAGUUUCUCGAGUGGAUGCAGAACCCUGAGGCCCCCCCCGCCCCCAGAGCCCACGUGGGAAGAGCAGCAGACAAGUGUGUUGCACCUGGUGGGGGACAACUUCCAGGAGACCCUGAAGAGAAAGAAACACACCUUGGUCAUGUUCUACGCCCCUUGGUGUCCACACUGUAAGAAAGUCAUUCCGCACUUCACUGCUGCUGCUGAUGUCUUUAAAGAUGACCGAAAGAUUGCCUGUGCUGCUGUCGACUGUGUCAAAGACAAGAACCAAGACCUGUGCCAGCAGGAGGCCGUCAAAGGCUACCCCACUUUCCACUACUACCACUAUGGGAAGUUCACAGAAAAGUAUGAUAGUGACCGCACAGAAUUGGGAUUUACCAAUUAUAUUCGAGCCCUCCGGGAGGGAGACCAUGAAAGACUAGGGAAAAAGAAGGAAGAGUUAUAACUCCUGCCUCAGAAAAAGCUUUUCCAUUACACUGUGAAUGAUACCUGUUUUGUUGUUUCUGAAUUUCCACAUGUUCUGAAGACAAAGUUUUUUAUAGCCACUUAUGGCCAUUUUGUACAAUUUUGAAAUAAAAUUAAACCAUUUA